AAGUACCCAGCGUUGUUCUCUUCCUCAGGUAUGUCUUGAUUUCGAGGACGAAAUCUUUUAAAGUUGGGGAGAAUGUAAAGUUUUUGACUUAUCUAUAUAUAUAAUUAGUAUAAUGACUUUUCAACUGUGGGUCCCACCUGAGUUAUAAGGGUCAUUACAGACCCAUUUAAUUCCAAUUUGCUUUCUCUCUCGGGCAGCUAAAAUCUCUCUCUCGCUGCUUCUGUUUUUUUUCUUUUCUUUUUUCUUUUUCAACUUCAAUCCUUGAUUUCUCUCUCAAUUCUUGGCGGAUUUAGGUGCCGUUUGAGGCAAAACGACGAGCACGACGAGCUCUACGUGCUAGUACCAGAAAUUCCAGCUUUUGGUCAUCUUUGGGAGCUCGAAUUUAAGGACCCAAUUUCAAGGGUUUUGUUCAAUUUAGAGGAAACGGGAAAGAAGUGGCGGAUGACUUUCCACCACAGGCCUAAUUUGGAUUAGAAGACUUCUUUUUGCUAUUUUUGUAUUAAGUCCCAUAUUUUUGUAAAAUCUUAGUUUGUUAUAUUUGGUAUAGAGAUUCGUGAAACUCUUGUUAUUGUAACUAUAUUUUGGGACUGUAAUUAUGAUAAUUUGGAUUAAACGA
Long non-coding RNA from Cornus florida, 616 nucleotides. RefSeq lists it as uncharacterized. The transcript has 2 exons. NCBI's taxonomy places the organism in Eukaryota, Viridiplantae, Streptophyta, Magnoliopsida, Cornales, Cornaceae. The record is from RefSeq and is a predicted model, not a curated record.